This 497-nucleotide ribosomal RNA is filed under the name uncultured bacterium. RNAcentral describes it as "partial 16S ribosomal RNA". It matches the Rfam family "Bacterial small subunit ribosomal RNA", at positions 28 to 507 of the family's 1533-position model. The record is from RNAcentral.
GAUGAACGCUGGCGGCGUGCCUAAUACAUGCAAGUCGAGCGAACAGACGAGGAGCUUGCUCCUCUGACGUUAGCGGCGGACGGGUGAGUAACACGUGGAUAACCUACCUAUAAGACUGGGAUAACUUCGGGAAACCGGAGCUAAUACCGGAUAAUAUAUUGAACCGCAUGGUUCAAUAGUGAAAGACGGUUUUGCUGUCACUUAUAGAUGGAUCCGCGCCGCAUUAGCUAGUUGGUAAGGUAACGGCUUACCAAUGCAACGAUGCGUAGCCGACCUGAGAGGGUGAUCGGCCCCACUGGAACUGAGACACGGUCCAGACUCCUACGGGAGGCAGCAGUAGGGAAUCUUCCGCAAUGGGCGAAAGCUUGACGGAGCAACGCCGCGUGAGUGAUGAAGGUCUUCGGAUCGUAAAACUCUGUUAUUAGGGAAGAACAAAUGUGUAAGUAACUAUGCACGUCUUGACGGUACCUAGUCAGAAAGCCACGGCUAACUACGUG